AAAGGAUGCCGGGAAACCGGUAGACCCCACCCGUGUCUAUAUACUCUUGUUGCUUUGGCAGGCCGUGGCCUUCCACCGUGGGCUCUGCCUGCGCGUGCCUGCCAGAGGACCAAACUCUGAAUUUUAGUGAUGUCUGAGUACUAUAUAAUAGUUA
RNAcentral lists this unclassified non-coding RNA (154 nucleotides) under uncultured Acephala. Its description in RNAcentral is "sequence contains ITS1". Lineage: Eukaryota; Fungi; Ascomycota; Leotiomycetes; Helotiales. The record is from RNAcentral.